This 433-nucleotide ribosomal RNA is filed under the name uncultured bacterium. RNAcentral's name for it is "partial 16S ribosomal RNA". It matches the Rfam family "Bacterial small subunit ribosomal RNA", at positions 29 to 507 of the family's 1533-position model. The record is from RNAcentral.
AACGAACGCUGGCGGCAUGCCUAACACAUGCAAGUCGAACGAGACCUUCGGGUCUAGGGGCGCACGGGUGCGUAACGCGGGGGAACCUGCCCUUAGGUUCGGAAUAACUCCCCGAAAGGGGUGCUAAUACCGGAUAAUGUCUUCGGACCAAAGAUUUAUCGCCUUUGGAUGGGCCCGCGUUGGAUUAGCUAGUUGGUAGGGUAAAAGCCUACCAAGGCGACGAUCCAUAGCUGGUCUGAGAGGAUGAUCAGCCACACUGGGACUGAGACACGGCCCAGACUCCUACGGGAGGCAGCAGUGGGGAAUAUUGGACAAUGGGCGAAAGCCUGAUCCAGCAAUGCCGCGUGAGUGAUGAAGGCCUUAGGGUUGUAAAGCUCUUUUACCCGGGAUGAUAAUGACAGUACCGGGAGAAUAAGCUCCGGCUAACUCCGUG